CCUACGGGUGGCUGCAGUGGGGGAUAUUGCACAAUGGGGGGAACCCUGAUGCAGCGACGCCGCGUGGGUGAAGGAGCGUUUAGGCGCGUAAAGCCCUAUCGGCAGGGAAGAAGAUGACGGUACCUGACCAAGAAGCCCCGGCUCACUACGUGCAAGCAGCCGCGGUACUACGUAGGGGGCAAGCGUUAUCCGGAUUUACUGGGGGUAAAGGGGGCGCAGACGGCAAUGCAAGUCAGGAGUGAAGACCCGGGGGCCAACCCCGGGACUGCUCUUGGAACUGCAUGGCUGGAGUACAGGAGGGGCAGGCGGAAUUCGUAGUGUAGCGGUGAAAUGCGUAGAUAUUAGGAGGAACACCGGUGGCGAAGGCGGCCUGCUGGACUGUGACUGACGUUGAGGCCCGAAGGCGUGGGGAGCAAACAGGAUUAGAUACCCGGGUAGUC
This 440-nucleotide ribosomal RNA is filed under the name uncultured bacterium. RNAcentral describes it as "partial 16S ribosomal RNA". It matches the Rfam family "Bacterial small subunit ribosomal RNA", at positions 338 to 795 of the family's 1533-position model. The record is from RNAcentral.